AAUAGAUACCCAGGUAGUCCACGCCGUAAACGAUGAGUGCUAAGUGUUAGAGGGUUUCCGCCCUUUAGUGCUGCAGCUAACGCAUUAAGCACUCCGCCUGGGGGGUACGCCGCAAGGCUGAAACUCAAAGGAAUUGACGGGGGCCCGCACAAGCGGUGGAGCAUGUGGUUUAAUUCGAAGCAACGCGAAGAACCUUACCAGGUCUUGACAUCCUCUGCCAACCCUAGAGAUAGGGCGUUCCCCUUCGGGGGACAGAGUGACAGGUGGUGCAUGGUUGUCGUCAGCUCGUGUCGUGAGAUGUUGGGUUAAGUCCCGCAAUGAGCGCAACCCUUGAUCUUAGUUGCCAGCAUUUAGUUGGGCACUCUAAGGUGACUGCUGGUGACAAACCGGAGGAAGGUGGGGAUGACGUCAAAUCAUCAUGCCCCUUAUGACCUGGGCUACACACGUGCUACAAUGGAUGGUACAAAGAGCUGCGAACCCGCGAGGGUAAGCGAAUCUCAUAAAGCCAUUCUCAGUUCGGAUUGUAGG
RNAcentral lists this ribosomal RNA (528 nucleotides) under uncultured bacterium. RNAcentral's name for it is "bacterial SSU rRNA". It matches the Rfam family "Bacterial small subunit ribosomal RNA", at positions 777 to 1304 of the family's 1533-position model. The record is from RNAcentral.